Molecule: ribosomal RNA, 492 nt
Filed under: uncultured bacterium
Lineage: Bacteria
Description: partial 16S ribosomal RNA
Rfam family: Bacterial small subunit ribosomal RNA (bases 127-492)
Source: RNAcentral
GGGGGGGGGGGGGGGGGGGGGGGGGGGGGGGGGGGCGGGCGGGGGGGGGGGGGGGGGGGGCGGGUAGGGGGGGGGGGUGGCGGAGGGGGGAGGGGUGGGUCGGGAUCGCCUCUUGCGUGGGGGGGCGCGUCGGGACACUUACGCGCCUGCCGCACACGGCAUCCGGGUGAAAGCAGGGCAUCUUCGGACCUUGCGCGCUUGACUGAGCCGAGGUCGGAGUAGCUAGUUGGCGGUGGAAAGGCCCCCCAAGACGACGAUCCGUAGCUGUGCCGAGAGGAUGAUCAGCCACACUGGAACUGAGACACGGUCCAGACUCCUACGGGAGGCAGCAGUGGGGAAUAUUGGACAAUGGGCGCAAGCCUGAUCCAGCCAUACCGCGUGGGUGAAGAAGGCCUUCGGGUUGGAAAGCCCUUUUGUUGGGAAAGAAAAGCAGCAGGUUAAUACCCCGCUGUUCUGACGGUACCCAAAGAAUAAGCACCGGCUAACUUCGUG